CAAAGGCGCACGCAGCCCCAAGGGAUGCUUGGCUGUGACCCUCGGAUGGGGCUGUCUCUCCUCAUCCCAGCAGCAGGCAGCCAAUGAAAAAGCGGUUCAGGGGGUUCCCGAACCAAUGGCAGCCCGACGGGAUGUGAGGACCGGCCACUAGAAACACCCAUGGAGUCCUGGCCCAGAGCAUGGAGGGGGGACGGGACGCUGUCUUCCCAGAUGCCCCGGACAGAGGAACGAGAGAGGGUAGCCUCAGAGUGACCAGGAAGAUGAGAGAUGGAGAUUUUGAGCUGAACGUGUUAGAGGAGGAACAGUCCCAUGUGACUAUGAAGUCCAGGAAGCCUAACUGCCCUGCAGACUCAAGUGUCCUGUGAGUGGAGGCACCACAGCUAAGAACUGGACAUGUCUUUGACAAGGACAGCAGUGGAGAGGACAGGAGCAUAUCAGUCCAGCACUAAUAUCAUGAUAGGAAGAGAGCUUCCCAGAAGUGUGCUGAUGGAUUAAACAAUGAAUACAAUCACAAUUCAGAACUUGCAAGGGAAGAGGCUGUUGAAUAAUGGUGAUGGAAUCCAACCUGUCUCCAACACUAAACUCUAAAUCCUCAAGGGCAGGACCUUCUCCCAUCCAAGUACCAACCAGGCCCAACCCUGCUUAGCUUUCAAGAUCAGACAUGCCCAGGGUGUCAUGGCCAUAGGCCUGUGCUUUCUCUUUGUGCUGUGCUUCUCUUCAGACCUAGCAAAGAAUCCGAUACUUGGCAGGUUCUCUGUGACAUGCGGGAUGGAGGGACGCCUCUAGGGAACAUGGAGCAGACCAUUCCCCAUAGCUGGCAAGAAAGGGAGAUAUUUUGGCCGGGC
RNAcentral lists this long non-coding RNA (845 nucleotides) under Microcebus murinus (gray mouse lemur). RNAcentral's name for it is "lncRNA (ENSMICG00000048396.1)". Lineage: Eukaryota; Metazoa; Chordata; Mammalia; Primates; Cheirogaleidae. The record is from RNAcentral.